RNAcentral lists this ribosomal RNA (1027 nucleotides) under Apiospora sinensis. RNAcentral's name for it is "SSU rRNA". It matches the Rfam family "Eukaryotic small subunit ribosomal RNA", at positions 73 to 1111 of the family's 1831-position model. The record is from RNAcentral. Lineage: Eukaryota; Fungi; Ascomycota; Sordariomycetes; Amphisphaeriales; Apiosporaceae.
AUUAUACGGCGAAACUGCGAAUGGCUCAUUAAAUCAGUUAUCGUUUAUUUGAUAGUACCUUACUACUUGGAUAACCGUGGUAAUUCUAGAGCUAAUACAUGCUUAAAAUCCCGACUCACGAAGGGAUGUAUUUAUUAGAUUAAAAACCAAUGCCCUUCGGGGCUCUUUGGUGAUUCAUAAUAACUUUUCGAAUCGCAUGGCCUUGCGCCGGCGAUGGUUCAUUCAAAUUUCUGCCCUAUCAACUUUCGAUGGCAGGGUCUUGGCCUGCCAUGGUGACAACGGGUAACGGAGGGUUAGGGCUCGACCCCGGAGAAGGAGCCUGAGAAACGGCUACUACAUCCAAGGAAGGCAGCAGGCGCGCAAAUUACCCAAUCCCGACUCGGGGAGGUAGUGACAAUAAAUACUGAUACAGGCUCUUUUGGGUCUUGUAAUUGGAAUGAGUACAAUUUAAAUCCCUUAACGAGGAACAAUUUGAGGGCAAGUCUGGUGCCAGCAGCCGCGGUAAUUCCAGCUCCAAUAGCGUAUAUUAAAGUUGUUGCAGUUAAAAAGCUCGUAGUUGAACCUUGGGCCUGGCUGGCCGGUCCGCCUCACCGCGUGCACUGGUUCGGCCGGGCCUUUCCCUCUGGGGAACCGCAUGCCCUUCACUGGGUGUGUCGGGGAACCAGGACUUUUACUGUGAAAAAAUUAGAGUGUUCAAAGCAGGCCUAUGCUCGAAUACAUUAGCAUGGAAUAAUAGAAUAGGACGUGUGGUUCUAUUUUGUUGGUUUCUAGGACCGCCGUAAUGAUUAAUAGGGACAGUCGGGGGCGUCAGUAUUCAAUUGUCAGAGGUGAAAUUCUUGGAUUUAUUGAAGACUAACUACUGCGAAAGCAUUCGCCAAGGAUGUUUUCAUUAAUCAGGAACGAAAGUUAGGGGAUCGAAGACGAUCAGAUACCGUCGUAGUCUUAACCAUAAACUAUGCCGACUAGGGAUCGGGCGAUGUUAUUAUUUCACUCGCUCGGCACCUUACGAGAAAUCAAAGUCUUUGGG